GAUGAACGCUGGCUACAGGCUUAACACAUGCAAGUCGAGGGGAAACGGCAUUUGGUGCUUGCACCGAAUGGACGUCGACCGGCGCACGGGUGAGUAACGCGUAUCCAACCUUCCCGUUACUGCGGGAUAACCUGCCGAAAGGCAGACUAAUACCGCAUGUUCUUCGAUGACGGCAUCAGAUUCGAAGCAAAGAUCCGUCGGUAACGGAGGGGGAUGCGUCUGAUUAGCUAGUUGGCGGGGCGACGGCCCACCAAGGCGACGAUCAGUAGGGGUUCUGAGAGGAAGGUCCCCCACAUUGGAACUGAGACACGGUCCAAACUCCUACGGGAGGCAGCAGUGAGGAAUAUUGGUCAAUGGGCGGAAGCCUGAACCAGCCAAGUAGCGUGCAGGAUGACGGCCCUACGGGUUGUAAACUGCUUUUAUGCGGGGAUAAAGUGAGGGACGCGUCCCUUUUUGCAGGUACC
Molecule: ribosomal RNA, 464 nt
Filed under: Prevotella sp. oral taxon G57
Lineage: Bacteria; Pseudomonadati; Bacteroidota; Bacteroidia; Bacteroidales; Prevotellaceae
Description: bacterial SSU rRNA
Rfam family: Bacterial small subunit ribosomal RNA
Source: RNAcentral